Molecule: ribosomal RNA, 687 nt
Filed under: Pantoea agglomerans
Lineage: Bacteria; Pseudomonadati; Pseudomonadota; Gammaproteobacteria; Enterobacterales; Erwiniaceae
Description: bacterial SSU rRNA
Rfam family: Bacterial small subunit ribosomal RNA
Source: RNAcentral
UAAAACGAUGUCGACUUGGAGGUUGUUCCCUUGAGGAGUGGCUUCCGGAGCUUAACGCGUUAAGUCGACCGCCUGGGGAGUACGGCCGCAAGGUUAAAACUCAAAUGAAUUGACGGGGGCCCGCACAAGCGGUGGAGCAUGUGGUUUAAUUCGAUGCAACGCGAAGAACCUUACCUACUCUUGACAUCCAGCGAACUUUGCAGAGAUGCUUUGGUGCCUUCGGGAACGCUGAGACAGGUGCUGCAUGGCUGUCGUCAGCUCGUGUUGUGAAAUGUUGGGUUAAGUCCCGCAACGAGCGCAACCCUUAUCCUUUGUUGCCAGCGAUUCGGUCGGGAACUCAAAGGAGACUGCCGGUGAUAAACCGGAGGAAGGUGGGGAUGACGUCAAGUCAUCAUGGCCCUUACGAGUAGGGCUACACACGUGCUACAAUGGCGCAUACAAAGAGAAGCGACCUCGCGAGAGCAAGCGGACCUCACAAAGUGCGUCGUAGUCCGGAUCGGAGUCUGCAACUCGACUCCGUGAAGUCGGAAUCGCUAGUAAUCGUGGAUCAGAAUGCCACGGUGAAUACGUUCCCGGGCCUUGUACACACCGCCCGUCACACCAUGGGAGUGGGUUGCAAAAGAAGUAGGUAGCUUAACCUUCGGGAGGGCGCUUACCACUUUGUGAUUCAUGACUGGGGUGAAGUCG